Molecule: transfer RNA, 77 nt
Filed under: Alkalicoccus urumqiensis
Lineage: Bacteria; Bacillati; Bacillota; Bacilli; Caryophanales; Bacillaceae
Description: Bacillus urumqiensis tRNA-Arg
Rfam family: tRNA
About the family: Transfer RNA (tRNA) molecules are approximately 80 nucleotides in length. Their secondary structure includes four short double-helical elements and three loops (D, anti-codon, and T loops).
Source: RNAcentral
GUCCCAGUAGCUCAGUUGGAUAGAGCAACGGCCUUCUAAGCCGUAGGUCGCAGGUUCGAGCCCUGCCUGGGAUGCCA